UCCGGGAUGCGACGGUGAUAACAGUAUAACACGACAAUAAACAUAAUAUUCUCGUCGUGUAUUGUCAUUACUCAUUGGUAUUUACAAUUUACACCACCUAUUGUUUUUUAUAAAUCGUUGCUUUGUUUUAAUUUGCUCUUCACGCUCUCGUUAAAACGCGAUGAACGGCCAUAAACCAGCAUAGUAAAUCAGUAGUGAACGAGGCACAGUGCUUGGCUUUUUUAUUUCGCUUUUCAAAAUGAUCAAGCCCAGCUUUCUGUGCGUUUUGGCCGUCCUGUGGUGCUCGACACCGUCGACUUGGUCGCAAUUUAACGACGUGGAAACCACCUGGCAUUGUCCUCAGUACUGGGUCCAGUACGGAAACUCCUGUUAUAAGUUUGUAAAAUCACCAUUCCGACCGAGAAGUGAAGCUCACAGAAACUGUCUAGCUUUUGGAGCUGAUUUAGCUAGUGUCAACAACUUAGAUGAACAUGGCUUUCUCAUAAAUCAACUCUUGCAACAAGACCCACAACAUAGACAGUGGUAUGUAGGUGGUAAACAAACAAGCCCCGGAGUGUGGGUAAAUGAUGUAGAAAACAAUAUUCCACUUAUUGAUAUUGAAAGUGCACUCUUACCUGAACAAUAUACUACAUUAAACAGAGAUUAUAUAGCAUACACGUAUUCAGUUCAAUUACAAAAAUGGGGAUUUGAAAAAGUUCCAGGAGACCGGUAUUUGCUUUAUAUUUGUGAAUUACCUCUUAAUAAACAACAUUUAAUAGUUGAAGAACGUUCCUAUAAGUAUGGCUAUAAUAUUGAUGAUCAGCAAAAAGUUCCCAGAGGUCCUUACUUUAUUAAGGAACCAACAGAUGUAGUAUUUGAUAGUUCUGGAUCAUCAAUUACCAACGAUGUAGCUCUAAGUUGUGUUGCUGGAGGGUAUCCAACACCAACAUAUGAGUGGUUCAAAGAAGAUUAUGAUAACCAAGAUCAAUUAUUAUCUAUAAAAAUUGAUCCACUAAGUAAUAUGAGAUUCACAUUAAGUGGUGGAACCCUUAUUAUUUAUGCUCCUAAGAGGGAUGAAGACAGAGGUCGAUAUCAUUGUAAAGCAUCAAAUAUGUUUGGUUCUGUAGUUUCUGAAAGCAUACAACUUUCGUUUGGAUUUAUCGGUGAAUUUAAUUUACAACGUCCUCUUGAACGUGGUAAUAAAAAUUGGGGUAAAACAAUAUUUUGUGAUCCUCCUCAAUAUUUCCCUGAGGUGAGAUAUUUUUGGGUCAGGGAAUCAUUUCCUAACAUGGUUCAAGAAGAUCGGAGAGUGUUUGUCUCAUUUGAUGGAUACUUGUAUUUUUCCUCUUUGGAAGAAAGUGACGCUGGAAACUACAGUUGUAAUGUGCAAAGCGAAGUUUCAAAAACCGGCAAGAAUGGGCCCUUGUUCCAGUUACACGUAGUGACACAUUCUGACUAUCAACAACUUAUACUACCCAACAACUUCCCUAAAGCUUUUCCAGAAGCACCUAUUGCUGGUCAAGAAGUUAGACUUGAAUGUGUUGCAUUUGCAUAUCCUGUACCUUCAUACAAUUGGACAAGAAAAGGUUCUCCGUUACCUAAAGGUUCUCAUUUGACAAGUUACAACCGUGUGUUGGUAAUUCCUGAAGUUCAAGUGGAAGAUCAAGGAGAAUAUAAUUGCCAUGUUUUUAAUGAUCGAGACAGUAAAGAGAAGAGUGUUACUCUAACAAUACAAGCCGAACCAAACUUCACAAUCCCACUGGAAGAUAAACACAUGGAUCACCUGUCAGAUUUGACAUGGACAUGUGAAGCUUUUGGCGUUCCAGAUGUAACAUAUAAGUGGUUUAAAAAUGGUGAACCACUAGAAAUUGAUCAGCUAUCACCAGAAGACCAAAAACGUUACAUGAUACAAGACAAUGUAUUGAGUAUUAAAUAUCUAGAACAUGCUAAAGAUUCAGGAAUGUAUCAAUGUCAAGCUCGUAAUACUUUAAAAACCCGUUUCUCAUCUGCACAAUUAAGAGUGCUAUCUUUACGUCCAUCAUUUAAAAAGAAACCUUUACAGCCUGAAAUAUAUGGUGCUGAAGGAAAAAAUGUAACAAUUGAAUGUAAUCCUGAAGCUGCACCUAGACCUAAAUUUACAUGGAAAAAAGAUGGAUAUAUAAUAGGGUCUGGGGGUAGGCGUCGCAUAUUAGAAAAUGGAAAUUUGAUUAUUAAUCCAAUUGGAAGAGAUGAUGAAGGUAUGUACAUAUGUAUUGCUGAAAAUAUUUUUGGAACCGAAGAAAGUCAUGGAAAACUUAUUGUUAUGCGUGGCCCUGUAUUUAUUGAACAAUUAAAUCCCCAAAUUAGAUCGAUUAUUAAACAUGAUUUACUAUUACGAUGCCAAGCUGUUUCUGAUGAACUCUUAGACAUUGCAUAUGUCUGGACCCACAACAAUAUGCCAUUGCUUAAUUCUAAUUCUGAACUCGUUGGACAUGUUAGCAUAAAUGGUGGGGAGUUGUACAUUCGUAACAUGACAUUGGAAGAUUCUGGUGAAUACAAAUGUUUUGUGCACAGUGUAGUUGGAGAGAUAUCGUCAACAACUACUUUAUUUGUUGAUGGACCUCCUGGACCUCCAGGUGGAAUACAAGUUGAAGUCUUAAAGACAUCUGCCAAACUGCAAUGGACUGACGGUUCUGCAAAUGGACGUCAAACUAUACAUUAUAAUGUAAUGGCCCGUUCACAAUGGAACAGUACUUGGUAUACAAUGGCCUCAGAUAUUGUAAUCAAGGAAGUUGAUAGGUAUAAUGGGCGUAAAGAAGCAUUUUUAGAAAAUGUUCUACAACCCUGGUCCAAGUAUGAAUUUAGAAUGAUAGCAGGAAAUGAUAUUGGAUAUGGUGAAAUAUCUCUUCCUUCUCCUCAAGUUAACACACCAGCUGAUCAUCCAUAUAAAGCACCUUCAAAUAUUACUGGUGGUGGUGGCAAAAUUGGUGAUUUAACAAUUGUGUGGAAACCUCUAUCUUCUCAAGAUCAAAACGGACCAGGUAUCUAUUACAAAGUAUAUUGGAGACGUAUGGGUCAUGAAACAGACUUUCAGUAUGAGACAUUGCAAGAUAGUGGUAAUAUUGGAAUGGCAGUAGUGCACAUUAAGUCAGAAUUUUAUUACACUGAAUAUGAAGUCAAAGUUCAACCCUUUAAUUCAAUCGGUCCUGGUCCUAUAUCAGAUCCUAAAGUGAUAUACAGUGCAGAAGAUAUGCCACAAGUAUCUCCACAACAAGUGUUUGCUAUUUCUUACAAUUCAACUGCCAUUAAUGUAAGUUGGGUACCAAUUGAUCAAUCACGGGAAAUGUUGCGUGGUAAACUAAUCGGCCACAGAUUAAAGUAUUGGAAAAAAGAUGCAAAUGACAGAGAAGAAGAUGCUGUAUACUAUUUAAGUAGAUCUGUUAAACCUUGGGCCCUUAUUGUUGGAUUGCAACCAGAUACAGAAUAUUAUGUAAAAGUAAUGGCUUUCAAUUCAGCUGGAGAAGGUCCGGAGAGUGAACGAUUUAUUGAACGAACAUACAGAAAAGCACCUCAAAAGCCACCAUCAUCUGUUCUAAUUAAUGGCUUAAAUCCAGAUACUAUACAAGUAACCUGGCGAUAUGUACAACCAACACUUGAAGAAGAACCAAUCAAAGGCUAUAAGGUGCGGGUUUGGGAAUCCGAUCAAGAUAUGAGUACUGCAAAUGAUACAAUUAUUGAAAUUGGGAGCAAAUUAGAAGCCCAAAUUACUAAGUUAACACCUGGCAAAGUGUACAAACUUCGAGUGUUAGCAUACUCUAAUGGCGGAGAUGGACGGAUGUCAUCACCUGCUAAAACUUUCCAAAUGGGAAGUUUUACUUAAUAGCGAAAGUAAGUUACUUAUGUGUGUAGCAUAUUAUAUAAAUAAAUAAAAAUAUUUAUGUAUGUAUGCUGAACAAUACAAGCUUACUCUUCUAUUUAUCACAAUAUGUAGUCCAGAGCUGUUCUUAACCAACACUGCCAGCAAAAACUCGGCAGUCUGUCUGUCGUUCGUGUUGCUAUUGAGGUUGUACGGUAUCAUUUAGAAAUUAUAGAUCUAAUAUUAACGCGCACGCGCACUUGUAAUAAUCUCAAUUAUUAUAUUUUUCAAACACAUUUUUUACAAUUUUACAUUUUCUACAUUUUAAACGUAUAGUUUUAAGUUAAUAACCAUGAUUCGUCUCGAAUGUUUGAUCAAUUUUUUUAUGAUUAUGGUCAAUAUAUCAUGAUGGAUUAUUAUAUAUAUUUAUAAGAAUAUAAACCAAAUUAUGGUAAACUCAAUGCAAGUAAAAUAUCAAAAUAUGUAUGUUUUGGGUUAAUGUAGUAAGCCGCAUUAUAUACAGAAGCAGUGCCUUGGAAUAUUAUUAAUAAUAUAAUUAAUAUAUAAUAAUUUAUUAAAUAUUUUUAUUAUAAUAUGAAUGAAUCAAAAACUCUCGUCUGUGUUCAAAAUAUAAAUGACAGCCAUUAUUUAAUAUAGCAUAAUUGUGAUUUCUUACUAAUUUACUAUUCUGUAGCAAUAAGUGAGGUGUUUAAUAUAAAUACUACAAAACGUAAGUGUAAGAAUAGUUUUCAAAGUUGUAAAAAUGCUUGUUUUAAAUGUAUCAAGUGUAAGCUAUAAACACAUGCGAUCACACAAAAUAAUACUAAUAAUAAUGAUAAGUGUCCAUACCUACAAAUUGUUUUCAGAUAAUGAAUUUCGAGCAAAAAAUAUUGCUAUUAAUUAUGUUUGAACAAAAUCGGAAUAAGUUUAUUAUAUAAUACAAAUCUACAAUCGACUUAUGAAAUACUUACCUAAAAAAACACUCAUUCAUAUAUACAUAACUUAUUAUAUUUAUACAUUUUGAUUUAUAAUUAAUUAUCAUCUAGGAUGCAUAAAAAUGGAUUAAUUUUCAUAAUGGGAAUUUUUUUCCAAAUACCUCAGACAAUACGUAGGAACCGCGAAAAAAAUAUUUAAACGUGAAUUCGCUAUAUAAAUAUAUAUAUAAUUAUAAUAAACAUAAUAAUAUAAUCCGUCCACUCAAACACCUUGCAACAUUGAUAUAUUUUCAUAAUGUAUAUUGUUUUAUUUUUGUACUUGCGUUUACGAAUUGUAACUUAGUUCUCGCUAUUUUAUUCUUAUAGAUAUUUAAUAUCCUUUAUAUUAAUUGCUUAUAUUAUAUAUUUUUUAUAAUUAUUUUUCCAUGUAUACAAUAUGUACUAGAAACUAUGCAAUAUGCAUUUAUAAUUUAAGUGAAUCUGUACCGUCCAUAUUAUACAACCUAUCUAGUGAUAUUUUAUUAGUGCACAGUAAUGACGUAUCUAUUUAAGUUGUCGUUUAUAUUAUAUUUAUAACUAAUAUGGAUAAACAUUGUUAUGUAGCACAUAGAACAACAAUAAUAUUAACUAUAUACCUUUUAUAUUUAUUAUAUACUUAUGAAACUUUGUGACUUUAUUGGCAAUAUUUAACGUCCACUUAUUUUUUGUUUAGAGUUUUACUACAUUAUAAUAUUAAAGUAUUUACAAUAUAAA
This is an RNA transcript of Metopolophium dirhodum (rose-grain aphid), 5502 nucleotides long. It is a transcript of the gene named contactin, with no coding region annotated. The transcript is spliced from 22 exons. Lineage: Eukaryota; Metazoa; Arthropoda; Insecta; Hemiptera; Aphididae. The record is from RefSeq and is a predicted model, not a curated record.